UGGAGAGGAAGUCCACAGCAGCAGGC
RNAcentral lists this non-coding RNA (26 nucleotides) under Homo sapiens (human). Lineage: Eukaryota; Metazoa; Chordata; Mammalia; Primates; Hominidae. The record is from RNAcentral.